AAAUGUGUUUGAUAAUAGUAUAAAAGAAAAAAAUUGUCAAUUGGGGGAAGAAAAGAAGCACACGGGUUGUCUUGCUCUUGCUCUUGCUCAUCACUGCUAGUUGUGCACUGAGUCUUGUUCAGAUCUGCAACCAUGCCAACAGAUGCGGCUGGAAAUAAGGGUAAGCAUGUUAUUAUUACCCCGGGUAGCUGGCAAAAGGGUGAACUUUUGGGGCGUGGUUCGUUUGGAUCUGUGUUUGAAGCGAUUUCUGAGUAAGCUCCUUUAUUUAACUUUUGUUUCCUUCAAGGGACUCAGAAUGGGAUCUGGUGUAUCAUUGUUUCUGCAGGAUCUAUCUAUUUUAUUCCUAUCUUUACUUAGGAUCGAUAAGAUACGAAUAUACAAUGAUAUCUUAAGAGUCUCUGCACUUUUGUGAAUGUCAAAGUAUCAGAGGGUGGAAGAAUGUUCUUCUUUAUGUUUUACUAACAAUUGUUGUCUCAAAUACCGUUUUCAACAUAAAUAGUAGUAGCUAUUUGUUAUGGUGAGUAUAAUAGGUUGAAUUCAUUAGGUCUAUGUUUCUUGAACUAAUAACACUCAAGUUUUCCGUUUGUUGCUAAUUGAGGUUAUUGGGUGAUAGAUUUAGAACAAACUGUAUAAUGAAGUGGAAUCAGUUGAAAAAAUAGUUAUGUAAAAAUAUUUGAAGGAACAGGGCACAGAUUUUGUAAAAUAGUGAAAGACACUAGAUUGUAAUUUUUUCAUACACUCAAUGCACGGAGGCUAUGCCUAUUUAUAGGCUUGAACCACCGACAAUCAAAGGUGAUUUUUGAAUU
Molecule: non-coding RNA, 806 nt
Organism: Cajanus cajan (pigeon pea)
Lineage: Eukaryota; Viridiplantae; Streptophyta; Magnoliopsida; Fabales; Fabaceae
Source: RefSeq, a predicted model, not a curated record